Molecule: ribosomal RNA, 538 nt
Filed under: uncultured fungus
Lineage: Eukaryota; Fungi
Description: eukaryotic LSU rRNA
Rfam family: Eukaryotic large subunit ribosomal RNA
Source: RNAcentral
AUAUUACUAAGCGGAGGAAAAGAAAUUAACAAAGAUUGCCUUAGUAAGGGCGACUGAACCGGCAAAAGCUCAAAAUUGGAAUCGAUGAUUCAAUGAAUCUUCGAAUUGUAAUCAGGCCAGCCUAAAUACGAGAGUUAUUUUAACGACGUCGAAUCGUCGACCAAGGAGGGUGAAAGUCCCGUGUAGAUUUCUCUCGAGUAAGGUGAGCCCCACAAGAGUCGGGUUGCUUGGAACUGCAGCCCUAAGUGGGAGAUAUGAAUCUUCCAAAGCUAAAUAAGGAUGGGAGACCGAUAGCGAACAAGUACUGCGAAGGAAAGAUGAAAAGGACUUUGAAAAGAGAGUGAAAAGAUCUGAAAUCGUUGAGAAGGAAGCGGUAGAAACUGAUGGUCGUACUGAUAGUUAUCGCGGUGAACAACUGCGUAGUACUUACCGGAACGAUGGGCAAAAUGAAGCCGAAAGCGUCAAAAAAGGCUUUGGCCGAUUAAGGCGUAAUCGACUUGAGGGACUAUUGUGAUUUUGCCAAAAUGGUUUCUACUGU